Molecule: ribosomal RNA, 253 nt
Filed under: uncultured bacterium
Lineage: Bacteria
Description: partial 16S ribosomal RNA
Rfam family: Bacterial small subunit ribosomal RNA
Source: RNAcentral
UACAUGUGGGGCAAGCGUUGUUCGGAAUUACUGGGCGUAAAGGGUGCGUAGGUGGCUUAGUAAGUCAGUGGUGAAAUCGUCCGGCCCAACCGGACACGUGCCAAUGAUACUGCUGAGCUCGAGUGCGUGAGGGGUAGGGGGAACGAGCAGUGUAGCGGUGAAAUGCGUAGAUAUUGCUCGGAAGGCCAAAGCCGAAGGGACCCUACUGGUGCGCAACUGACACUGAGGCACGAAAGCGUGGGGAGCAAACAGG